ACCUCAACCUGGAAGGCAUUGCAGUGGGUGCAAGGCAGGACAAGCCCACGGAGCAAGCACUUCGGGUCGGCACUCACCUGCCCAGGAACUGAGAGAUACAAAAAAUUAGCCGGACGUCCUGGCGUGUGCCUGUAAUCCCAGCUACUCAGAAGGCUAAGGCAAGAGAAUCGCUUGAACCUGGGAGGCGGAGGUUGCAGUGAGCCAAGAUAGCGCCAUGGCACUCCAGCUUGGGCAAGAAGAGAAAAACUCCAUCUCCAAAAAAAAAAAAAAGAAAAGAAAAGAAAAAAAAAAGAUCUGCAUCCUUUGAGCUCACACCAAUGGAUGAGAAAGAAGCAGGUGAAGGAAUUUAUUGUUAUAUUAUAUUAAAUAAAUAAUAAUAGUAACAGCCCUUAUGCCACUCUCAAGGAGCAUUCUCGUGUGCAUAGUUGCUUCUGUUGAGCCCGCUGGAAUAUCUGCUUCUGCAAUGAGGAUGUUGGGCCCUGGGCAACCUGAGAACCUACCCAGUGCUGGCACACAGGAGCACAGAGAGAGCUGGGACAGACUGUCUGGUGGAAUCAGCCCUCGGUGGACACCCUCGCCAGAGUGCAGCGUUACAGGCACUAUUAUCUGCAUGUCUCUAGACAACAUAAUAGACAGACUCAGGGUUCAAAGCUUAGAACCAAUGAUGCCUCCUUCUGGAAGCCCUCUCCUUCCAAUGGUUGGAAUGAGUCCCCUCUGCCCUGUGUUUCCAUGACCAUGCUAUGGCCUUUAUCAUUCCAUUCACCAUAGCAGUCCCCUUUCAUGAAUGACAGGCACUAUGUCAGUGGCCUCAGUGAAUCUCCCCAUGGGAGAGAUGAGGGGCCACAAGAGGGCUGGGGCAGAGAAGCAUCAUCACCUUAGUGGUUAACAGGAUGCAGGGGAGCAGGGAUGGAUGUAGGCAGACAGGUCAGGAAGCCAUGGCAGUGAUGCCAGUGAGAGCUGAUGGUGGCAGUGAAGGCAGGAAGAACUAGUUGGAUUAUAGAUUUUUUUUGAGGUUAAACUGACAAGAUGUCCUUGUGGAUUGAAGGUAAAAUACCUGAGAAAUGAAGGAGAUGAGAAUGACCCCACGGUUUUUAGCCAGAGUAACUGCAAAGUUAGAGAACCCAAAUACAAAGAUCAGGAAAAUUGUGGAAGAGCUGGUUUUGGAGAAAAAAUAAGGAGGCCAGUUUGGGACGAGUUGAAUUUGAGACACCUGCUAGAUAUCACACCUGCAGUUGGCUAUGGGAAGAUGUAAAGGUGGGAGUUAUCAGUGUAUAGGUGGGGAAAUAAAGCUCCGAGCUUAGAUGAGAUAACCAAGGAGUAAGUGUAACUGAUAAAAGAAGAGGACCAAGGAACUGACCCCUGGGCUUGACAAGGGUCGGCUGAGCAUUUACACCACACCCAGCUCUGUGCUAGCAGCCCUGGGAGGCGGUGGAUCCGAAGGACACCCAGUUUCUGUCCUCAAGGAACUCAAGAGCCUGUAGGGAAGGUGGAGCGUGCGUCUCAUUCACAGACCCGGGGAGCUGUGCCACAUGGAAAAAGCUCUGAACCUGAGCCCAGCACCCAGGGCUGAACUGCCCCCACCACCCACUGGCCAUGCCUGUGACUAUCUCUGAGCCUGAGUUUCCUCCUUCGUAAAAUGGAGAUAAUAAUAUAUCCUGGCAAAGGAGUUGCUUAGAGGAUCAGAGAAGGCAUGUGCCUAGCACAAAGGAGGCGUCUGGCAACCUGUACAGCCUGUGCUUGUUAGUAUCUGCCGGCAUGCUCUCCACACCCUCAGCUGGGGGGCCCAUCUUCACACAUAGUAGCAGUGGGGUUUCCAGAAGCACCAACCCCAUGAAUGGGCCUGGGGACUCCCCUUGUCCACGGCCCAGCCUCCCUCAUGGCUGCCACUACCCCAUGUGGGCUGGGGACGUUGGUGGCGAGGUCAAGGCCACUCUGUCCCUUGGAGUAAUUGAAGAUGACAACAUUAUUUUGUGUCUCACAGAGACUGGUAGAGAUCAAAGGCAGCAAGAAGGAGCUGCUGGGACAGGCAGGAAUUCCCUGGCAAAGGCCGCCAAUUAUUGGAAAUUGGCUGUAGUUACAGCUAUUACCAUUAAGGGCUGCCUGGCUGCCCUACGCUGCUGGAGAGGCGCGUUCUGACAGAGGGUGUGAAAGUGGCCACAGCAGGGUUGGGGGCAAAGAGAAUUCCAUGGGUUUGCACCUACCACGACUCAGACUUCUCUGUGGAUUGCUGUCCCAGAGACAGGCAAAGGCGAGUCUUGGAAUAUUCUCUGGACAAAUAGGAAGAGGCGUCCUGGAGAGAUAUGUGGGGAGAGAAAGGGGGCUGUAGAGCCCAGCAGGGAGAAAAGCCAUGGGCUCAUGAGGUCCAGGGAAGAAGAGCUCCAGCAGAAGGGAGAAGAGCACAGACCAGCAGGGAGAAGAGCCAUGGGCUCAUGGGCUCCAGAGACCAGCAGGGAGGAGGGCUGUGGGCUCAUGAACUCUAGAGACCAGCAGGGAGAAGAGCCAUGGGCUCAUGAGCUCCUGGGACCAGAAGGGAGAAGAGCAGAGACCAGCAGGGAGGAGGGCCAUGGGCUCAUGAGCUCUAGAGACCAGCAGGGCGAAGAGCAGAGACCAGCAGGGAGGAGGACCGUGGGCUCAUAGGAUCCAGAGACCAGCAGGGAGAAGAGUCAUGGGCUCAUGGGCUCCAGAGACCAGGAGGGAGGAGGGCUGUGAGCUCAUGGGCUCCAGAGACCAGCAGGGAGAAGAACCAUAGGCUUAUAAGCUCCAGAGUCCAGGGGAGAGAAGAGCCAUGGGCUCAUGAGCUCUACAGACCAGCAGGGGGAAGAGUCGUGGGCUCAUGACCUCUAGAGACCAGAAGGGGCAAGAGCCUUGGGCUCAUGGGCUCUGGCUCAUGUUAGCUGAAGCUGUGCCAUGGUAGGCAUGGGCAUCAACGCUCUACUCCUCGAUCCUGACCAGAGAGGCACAGCUGUAAACAGUGUGCCAAGGUUAGCUCUCACUUUGGGCAUGAGAACAAAGCAAGGCACCUUGGCAGGAGGCAAGACCCUGAGCCAAGCUGAAGGGCCUUGCUGGUGUUUGAAGCCCACUUACUGCCCUGUCCUGGCAGCAACCUAGAAGAGUGGGUCCCAAGGAAGAGGGCAGCCAGUGACUCCCAGAGCAACCCAGGGUGCAGAUGAGAAUUCCAGCAGGUACCAGGGAGGAGGGGAGGGCAUGGCAAAGGAGCAAGCUAUUCUUUCAAUAACUUCAAUAACCUCAGGGAUCUUAUCUCUGUCUCCUUCGCUUACGAGCUGUGUGAACUUAAGCAAGUUACUUAGCCUCUCUGAGCCUCAGAUUCCACAUCUGAAAAGUGAGGAAAUCAUACAAACUAGAAUCAUACAAGAUGGCACGGUAAAAUAAGUCAUGAAAUUAUGGUUGCCAUUAGUGAAAGGUCCAAGGCUAACCACUUGCUCAGUAAUCUGAGAGGGGCCCUUUCUUUUCAAAGUGUCAGUAAAAAAAAGUAUAGCCAUCAAUCACUGGGGGUCUAGUGCAUCAUCCUGAGAUGGUGUCACCUCACCCUCAUAGAACGUCAAUACUGCAGCAUUAUUAAGCAAAAUGAGGGAGGCUGUUUCAGGAAGGCCUCCAUUUUUGCUUUAAAAAAUACAUGAUGAACUAAGGGCUUGGGUAGCAAAGAAGCUCACUGACAGGAACAAUAUAGAUGUCUCAUUAAUUAUGUCAGAAGCAGGUGUGUGGCCACACAUGGCUUUCAGGCUCCUGUCAUCUGCUUCCGUGGAUGCCUUCAAAGCUCUCCUCCAGCAUGUUGGCCUCCAUGCAGGCUCCAUGACCAUGAGGCCAUGCCAUGUGUCUUUCCAUCACCAGGUCUUUGAUGAUAAUCUGCCCCCUGACCCAUCUCAGAAAGCUCUCCCUAUGGCAGGACCACCCCAAGGCCAGCCAUGUGGCAUGAUGGAGAGAGCACUGGCUUGAGAGCCUGGUGACGGAGGGCUUCCUCUGACUAUGCCACUCAUGGGCUGGAUGACCUGGAGGAGUCACUUCCUGUGUCAGGCAGAGUUUGAGGGAUGCAAGCAACAGAAACCAAUCUGGCUGUAACCUACAUGGGAAAGGGCAGACCCAAGAGGGUCUCAGAAUUUAAAGGAAAGCAAAGGACCAGACUCUGAAGGCAGAAUAAGGCUGUCUGGGGGUGGGGUGGGGCUGGGAUCCAAGGAGUCCAAGAAGCAGGGUCCCACAAGAGCGUCUCCUCAGGACACGACCCCACCCUCCUCCUGGGGCAAAUCAGCUUCAGCCAUUUCUAAUCUUCUGUCCUUAUGCUUGAAACAGAAACUCCAGAGACUGAGAGAGAUGGGGAGAGCUAGAGGAGGUGGGCACCUUGACUGAUAAUCCCACCAGUCAGCCCGUCACAGAGAAGAGGGAGUUCUCCCAAAGAAGUCAGGGCACCAUGAUCAGAAGGAAUGGGAAUCAACGUUGGGCAGGGAAAAAUUAACUCAUCUACACUUUCCUCUUCUGGAGGCUGUUUUCUCAUCUGUGGAAUGGAGACAGUGACACCUUAAAGGAGUGGUGUAGAUUUGGUGCAUAUCGUGGCAUAGAUGAACAGCAGUUGUUGCUAUUAGUGAUAGCACACAGGGCAUCGAGCAAUAUUGAGAGCAUUCCUUAUGUUGAUGACUGUUACGCUAGUUGUAUUGUCAUGCAGUUAGGACUGAAUAAAGACUAGAUGUUAUUGGCCA
Homo sapiens (human) is the source of this 4709-nucleotide long non-coding RNA. RefSeq lists it as uncharacterized. The record is from RefSeq and is a predicted model, not a curated record. The transcript has 2 exons. Lineage: Eukaryota; Metazoa; Chordata; Mammalia; Primates; Hominidae.